AAUCAACGCUGGCGGCGUGCCUCAGACAUGCAGGUCGAACGAUUAAAGCUCUCUUCGGAGAGUGCAUAAAGUGGCGCACGGGUGAGUAACACGUAAGUAAUCUACCUUCGAGUGGGGAAUAACGUCCGGAAACGGACGCUAAUACCGCAUAAUGCAGCGGCACCUAAUGGUGACAGUUGUUAAAGAAUUUAUUCGCUUGAAGAGGAGCUUGCGGCAGAUUAGCUAGUUGGUAAGGUAAUGGCUUACCAAGGCUUCGAUCUGUAACCGGUCUAAGGGGACGGUAGGUCACACUGACACUGAAUAACGGGUCAGACUCCUACGGGAGGCAGCAGUCGGGAAUUUUGGGCAAUGGGCGAAAGCCUGACCCAGCAACGCCGCGUGAAGGAUGAAGUAUUUCGGUAUGUAAACUUCGAAAGAAUGUGAAGAAUCAAUGACGGUACCAUUUAUAAGGUCCGGCUAACUACGUGCCAGCAGCCGCGGUAA
Molecule: ribosomal RNA, 483 nt
Filed under: uncultured bacterium
Lineage: Bacteria
Description: partial 16S ribosomal RNA
Rfam family: Bacterial small subunit ribosomal RNA
Source: RNAcentral